CUGGAAUUCGCCCUUAGAGUUUGAUCCUGGCUCAGAACGAACGCUGGCGGCAGGCUUAACACAUGCAAGUCGAACGCCCCCGCAAGGGGGAGUGGCAGACGGGUGAGUAACACGUGGGAACAUACCCUUCGGUUCGGAACAACGUCUGGAAACGGACGCUAAUACCGGAUACGGCCUUUUGGGCGAAAGAUUGAUCGCCGAAGGAUUGGCCCGCGUUCGAUUAGCUGGAUGGCGGGGUAACGGCCCACCAUGGCGACGAUCGAUAGCUGGUCUGAGAGGAUGGCCAGCCACAUUGGGACUGAGACACGGCCCAAACUCCUACGGGAGGCAGCAGUGGGGAAUAUUGGACAAUGGGCGCAAGCCUGAUCCAGCCAUGCCGCGUGAGUGAUGACGGCCUUAGGGUUGUAAAGCUCUUUCGCACGCGACGAUAAUGACGGUAGCGUGAGAAGAAGCCCCGGCUAACUUCGUGCCAGCAGCCGCGGUAAUACGAAGGGGGCUAGCGUUGUUCGGAAUCACUGGGCGUAAAGGGUGCGUAGGCGGGCAUUUAAGUCAGGGGUGAAAUCCCGAGGCUCAACCUCGGAACUGCCCUUGAUACUGGGUGUCUUGAGUCCGGAAGAGGUGAGUGGAACUGCGAGUGUAGAGGUGAAAUUCGUAGAUAUUCGCAAGAACACCGGUGGCGAAGGCGGCUCACUGGUCCGGAACUGACGCUGAGGCACGACAGCGU
Molecule: ribosomal RNA, 724 nt
Filed under: uncultured bacterium
Lineage: Bacteria
Description: bacterial SSU rRNA
Rfam family: Bacterial small subunit ribosomal RNA
Source: RNAcentral